This 492-nucleotide ribosomal RNA is filed under the name uncultured bacterium. Its description in RNAcentral is "partial 16S ribosomal RNA". It matches the Rfam family "Bacterial small subunit ribosomal RNA", at positions 29 to 507 of the family's 1533-position model. The record is from RNAcentral.
AGUGAACGCUGGCGGCAGGCCUAACACAUGCAAGUCGAACGGAAGCACAGUAAGAGUUUGCGCUUACGGGGGGCGAGAGGGGGACGGGAGAGGUAUAUAACCGAAUCUACUCUUUGGUGGGGGAUCACGAAGCGGAAGUUACGACAAUACAGCAUACGCUCUAGCGGUGAAAGGGUGGGAUAUUCUGACCUUGCGCGAUUGAAUGAGCGGAUGUGGGAUUAGCUAGUGGGGGGGGGAAUGGCCCACGAAGGCGACGAUCCGUAGCUGGUCUGAGAGGAUGAUCAGCCACACUGGAACUGAGACACGGUCCAGACUCCUACGGGAGGCAGCAGUGGGGAAUAUUGGACAAUGGGCGCAAGCCUGGUCCAGCCAUACCGCGUGGGUGAAGAAGGCCUUCGGGUUGUAAAGCCCUUUUGUGGGGAAAGAAAAGCAGCAGGUUAAUACCCCGCUGUUCUGACGGUACCCAAAGAAUAAGCACCGGCUAACUUCGUG